AAAUUGAAGAGUUUGAUCAUGGCUCAGAUUGAACGCUGGCGGCAGGCCUAACACAUGCAAGUCGAACGGUAACAGGAAGCAGCUUGCUGCUUUGCUGACGAGUGGCGGACGGGUGAGUAAUGUCUGGGAAACUGCCCGAUGGAGGGGGAUAACUACUGGAAACGGUAGCUAAUACCGCAUAACGUCGCAAGACCAAAGAGGGGGACCUUAGGGCCUCUUGCCAUCGGAUGUGCCCAGAUGGGAUUAGCUAGUAGGUGGGGUAAAGGCUCACCUAGGCGACGAUCCCUAGCUGGUCUGAGAGGAUGACCAGCCACACUGGAACUGAGACACGGUCCAG
This 337-nucleotide ribosomal RNA is filed under the name Escherichia coli. RNAcentral's name for it is "bacterial SSU rRNA". It matches the Rfam family "Bacterial small subunit ribosomal RNA", at positions 1 to 334 of the family's 1533-position model. Lineage: Bacteria; Pseudomonadati; Pseudomonadota; Gammaproteobacteria; Enterobacterales; Enterobacteriaceae. The record is from RNAcentral.